CCAUGGGGGAUAAUUGGUCGGCUGGCCCCAAGAAGAGCUAUCCUUAUGUUUGUCUCCGGUUUCACCCAUCCGGCCCAGCACCACCCGCAUAAUGGCCAUGGCCGCCGGGAGCCUCGCCGCCGUCCCAAUCUCCAUGGGGCGUUCUCUGGCCAGAGCCGCCCAGCGACUACUCGCCGGCCCUCUCCUCCUGCAAACCCGAGAGCCCUUUCCUCUCGCUACUCUCACCCGCUCACCUUCCCGAGGGAUAUGCCAGAUAGCUCAUGCACUCAAGCCCGCCGCUGACUCGUUGCUUCAUGGGGUUGGUGACAAAAAUGUCGCCGAGGCCGUGAAGAACAUUCUUGAUAUGGCAAGACGGGCUUCAUCAAGAAGCGAGGUUCUCCAUACAGACUUUCUCACUCCGCCGAUUGUGAAAGAGUCGAUGUCGGCACUACAAAAGUUAUCUGGUAUCAGAGCAGAAGCUCAGGGUGGUUACCCACAGGCUGAACGAUGUCGCAUUUCUGUUGGACACUCGGACGCCAUGACAACUGACCCAGAUGUGGUGGCUGCUUUGAGUAUUUCAGGAAACUUUGGGUUUGAGGCUUGUUCUCACGGUGACUUCCUUGGCGCGAUUCUUGGCACUGGGAUUGUAAGAGAGAAGGUUGGAGAUAUAUUGUUGCAGGGAGAAAAGGGGGCUCAGGUCCUUGUUGUUCCAGAACUCACCGAAUUUCUUAUAUCAGCACUGGAUAAGGUUGGUAAUGUUCCUGUCACUUGCAAACAAAUACCACUGCUUGCUUUGGAGUAUGAGCCGCCAAGGACUAAAUCGUUUAAAACUGUUGAAGCAUCGUUAAGGGUUGAUGCAAUAGCUAGUGCAGGAUUCAAGAUAUCACGUUCGAAACUUGUUAACUUGAUCAGUUCUGGGGAUGUGCGGGUCAAUUGGUCGCCAGUAAUAAAAAAUGGAGCGAUGCUCAAGACAGGAGAUAUUGUUUCCAUCAAUGGGAAAGGGCGGUUGAAGGCAAGUCACAGACCUAUUUAGGCAUCAGCUUCUGCUCCUCAUUGACAUGAGUUGUUUAUAUGCAUUUACUCCAUCACAGCAUCAUUAUAUUCUCCGAUCGGGGAGAUCACAACAACAAGAAAAGGAAAAUAUGCGGUUGAGUUGAUUCGAUAUUUAUAGAGGUGUCAUAUUUGAUGAACAUUACUUUCUGUAGGGGAAACAUUGGUUGCUUGAAGGCAGUCCUGUAGCAACAGAAGAACUAUGGCUUUCCCCAUAUAAACUUUCCAAGGCGCAAACAGCUAAACUUUCUUUUGCUUGAUUGUGAUUUUUCUCCUCUCACUAAUAUCUUGUGCAAUAUUUUUAAGGAACAGUAGGUUGUUUCUAUUGGCUAAUCUUAACGAGUUCUUUCAGAUAGACUUAAA
This is an RNA transcript of Phoenix dactylifera (date palm), 1392 nucleotides long. It is a transcript of the gene named RNA-binding S4 domain-containing protein, with no coding region annotated. The record is from RefSeq and is a predicted model, not a curated record. NCBI's taxonomy places the organism in Eukaryota, Viridiplantae, Streptophyta, Magnoliopsida, Arecales, Arecaceae.